This 472-nucleotide ribosomal RNA is filed under the name uncultured bacterium. RNAcentral describes it as "SSU rRNA". It matches the Rfam family "Bacterial small subunit ribosomal RNA", at positions 26 to 518 of the family's 1533-position model. The record is from RNAcentral.
AGGACGAACGCUGGCGGCGUGCUUAACACAUGCAAGUCGAGCGGAAAGGCCCUUCGGGGUACUCGAGCGGCGAACGGGUGAGUAACACGUGAGCAACCUGCCCUUAGCUCUGGGAUAGCUCCGGGAAACCGGAAUUAAUACCGGAUAUGACCUAGGCCGACAUCGGCCGUGGUGGAAAGUUUUUCGGCUAGGGAUGGACUCGCGGCCUAUCAGCUAGUUGGUGGGGUAAUGGCCUACCAAGGCGACGACGGGUAGCCGGCCUGAGAGGGCGACCGGCCACACUGGGACUGAGACACGGCCCAGACUCCUACGGGAGGCAGCAGUGGGGAAUCUUGCGCAAUGGGCGAAAGCCUGACGCAGCGACGCCGCGUGGGGGAUGAAGGCCUUCGGGUUGUAACCCCUUUCAGCAGGGACGAGCGAAAGUGACGGUACCUGCAGAAGAAGCGCCGGCUAACUACGCGCCAGCAGCCGC